This 253-nucleotide ribosomal RNA is filed under the name uncultured bacterium. RNAcentral describes it as "partial 16S ribosomal RNA". It matches the Rfam family "Bacterial small subunit ribosomal RNA", at positions 524 to 776 of the family's 1533-position model. The record is from RNAcentral.
UACAGAGGUCCCAAGCGUUGUUCGGAUUCACUGGGCGUAAAGGGUGCGUAGGCGGUCGGGUAAGUCUGAUGUGAAAUCUCCAAGCUCAACUUGGAAAUGGCAUCGGAUACUAUUCGGCUCGAGGAAUGGAGGGGAGACUGGAAUACUUGGUGUAGCAGUGAAAUGCGUAGAUAUCAAGUGGAACACCAGUGGCGAAGGCGAGUCUCUGGGCCGUAACUGACGCUGAGGAGCGAAAGCGUGGGGAGCGAACAGG